Molecule: ribosomal RNA, 253 nt
Filed under: uncultured bacterium
Lineage: Bacteria
Description: partial 16S ribosomal RNA
Rfam family: Bacterial small subunit ribosomal RNA
Source: RNAcentral
UACGAAGGGAGCUAGCGUUGUCCGGAAUCACUGGGCGUAAAGCGCACGUAGGCGGAUUUGCCAGUCAGGGGUGAAAUCCUGGGGCUCAACCUCAGAACUGCCUCCGAUACUGGCAGUCUCGAGUGCGGGAGAGGUGAGUGGAAUUCCCAGUGUAGAGGUGAAAUUCGUAGAUAUUGGGAAGAACACCAGUGGCGAAGGCGGCUCACUGGCCCGUAACUGACGCUGAGGUGCGAAAGCGUGGGGAGCAAACAGG